Molecule: long non-coding RNA, 4322 nt
Organism: Parus major (Great Tit)
Lineage: Eukaryota; Metazoa; Chordata; Aves; Passeriformes; Paridae
Exons: 7
Source: RefSeq, a predicted model, not a curated record
CAAAGUGAAGGGGUGGACAUAUGGAUGCUUUGGAACCUGUCUAAUACAGCAUCAAGAUUGAGCUGAAGCUUACACCCAGCCCUGGUUAACUAACUUUGUGGUUCUCAUGACAUGAAUCAAAAAAUAGCUUUAAGAUAGCUGCAUGGAUACUCCUCUCACUAAUUGUUUUCUAUGAUGUUGUUGAUAUUUGUGGAAGCUGCCAACAAUGGAAAAGUGGAUCUGGUCGCUUGGGAAGGCGCAACACUGCACAAUUGUUCCUCCUACAGCUGCUGGGUUGCUGCUCCAGGAUGCAGUUUCAAAGUUGGUGCUGGAUAAGUGGUCCUGCAGGGAGGUGCUGGGUUUGCUCAGGCAGGUCACACAGCUCACAAAUGUCUAUGCAGAUACACACAUAUGAGCCUUCCAAGACAUGCAGUUCUCUGCUAUCCUUCUGUGGUAUUACCACUGCCAGACACGUCAACUGCAAUGCAAAGCCAAGGAGCAGGUCUCAGGAAAUCCCCCUUAAUUUCAUGUUUGGGAUUUUGAGACCACAACUCUUCUCUGCUUCUUAAAAGGCUUUCCCUGGGAGAAGUUGUAGGACGCGGCGGAAUGUCUUUCUUCUUUGUGUCUGUGCUGGCUAAAGCAGGACAGAGGAGCUUGAAAAGGCUCACCCUCCUCAAGGAACGUUAUCUGAUUCGUAAGCAUUCCUAGAGGUUAAGGCUGGUGACUAUCAAGAAAGCAAAUACUUCACGCAAGGGUACAUUAGGCCAGUACUGACUGCUUCUGGAAUACCACCCUGAACACCAGCCUUCUUAAGUGCCAACCUUCUCAAGUGCUGCUUCUUUCCAAUGCUGGAAAAAAUCCCUGGCAUCUCUGCCCCUCAGCUCCAAAACAGAAUAAAAGAGCAAUAAAAACAUAGAGAUGUUGCAACCCAAAUACCCAAGUGAAGACAAAGCUCCAUCUGAGGAUGCCUUGGGUUCCAGAAGGUUCAGGUUCACAGCAUGAGCUUAGAGACUGGCUGUUGAGAACACACUGGCUGGUGAAAUAUUCUUCUCUCAAGAGGCUUGGUCGAUCGUCUCCUUUUUCUGUCAUCUGCUGGUAUAUCACACUGGAAAAGCAUCUCCUCUCUGCUGGAAAAACCUCUGACUACCUUGUAUUCUAGGUCAGAAAGCCCCAAAUGGCAUCAGACUGGUCAGCUCCAGCUCGGUAUUCCCAGCCAGAUGUUCCUCAGGGGGCCAGGGGGUGCCCCCACAACAGCUGGGGACCAUAAGGCACCUGCACGGAAACUGCAGGGCCUCUCCCAGUGACCCCAGCUGCAGGAGCAUUGCUGUUUGCCGGGGCUCUGGAAUGUUCCUCACCCAGCUGUGCUCCGCUGGAUGCUUCCCAGUGGACUGGAAGAGGAGUGCUGACAGCACGGUGACACUAACCUUGGCCAGCUGACAACCCAAAGUUGCCUCCACACACCCUGGAUUGGACCCAUUGUCCUUCCUUUGACCCUCAGCUCCUUCCUCUGGCUCUGAGUAAUGAGUGUAAGCAAUCCCAGCCAUUCCAAUAUUUUUUUUUCCUAGUUUUCUUCUAGUAGAGCAGAUAUUCCUCUUUCACUGCUCAUUGUCAGAUUUGUCUUCUAAAGAAGUGGACACAUCUGGUGGGGGGUUGGUGAGACUGAGCUCAUGCACUGGGAAAGGUUCAUGGAAUACUCAACACUUCUCAGGUAACUUGGGAUAGAAACCUCCUCACACCUGGAGGAUUCCCUUUCCAGCAUCUGAACAAAACACACCUGCUGAGGAGCAGGUUCCUAUGCUGGAUCCACAAACCCGACAUGCCUGGGGCUUGUCCUCUUGUAUAAUACAAAAGAAAAGGCAGAAAAAUUCUUUAGUGAGCACUGAGUUCCCCAGGAGAAUAUGGCUGAACUUGUCUGCAAGCAAGUCACUGCUGUUUGCAUACUCUGCCUCAGAUUCACCCUCCCCAGUCCAUCUGUGAGCAUUGUACUCCAUAACAGUAACAGCCAUAUCAAACACUGCACAGUUUGGGAACAAGGGAUGCAUUUUCUUCCAGGAUUUCUUAAGCAGGUCACCAGCAUGUUUUCCCAUUGAACUGUAAGUCAAGACUGGCUGCAGGAGAGAGUCAUUGAGGGGGUAGACCACAGGUGCCACCCUAUUAUCAAUGUUAUCAUUAAUAUUAUCAAUAUAUGGCAGCAAAGUUCCCCUCCGUAAGUCUACAUGGGAAAAGUCUUAAAUGUGAAGGCAGAAGCCUCUGUAAUAGACUAAGAAAAUAUUAAAUACUUGUGGACCAGAGAGAUAAUCCAUUCUUCUCCCUGAAUGGGGCAUUGUUUCUGCCUGAAAAACAAAAAUGAUCAAGAUGAAAUCUGCAGAAAUGCAAGAUGCAGAACUAAAAUGGCAAUAGGUGUCUACUGACUGAAGAAGUUUUUAUCAACCUGGGGCCAAAGUUCCCCACUGCCACGUACAAUCAGACAGUCAGAGUGUCAAAUAAAAUUAGAGAAUCUUAAUUAGCCUUUUAAAAUGCUGAUCAUGAUGUAGUGAUUUUUUAGCUCUGUUGCCCUGAGCAUCUCCCUAUCCUAAGGACUGCUGUGUCUGACAGCUCAAGAGUGGUGGUUACAAGGGAGGGAUUUUUCUCUUCCUCGCCUUCUCACUGUGGAAAAUGUCUACAAAUGAACACAAAGAGCAAGGCAGCAGCUUGAAAAAAACGCAAAGUCAAGCUUACCUGUGGCCCACCUCUGCAGCAAUCUUGUUUACACAUCAGCACCUCAGGAACAAUCCCUACUUCAUUCACAUUCCUCAACAGCAGCCUUUAUUAUAUGGUGCACCACAUCCUCACACUAAUUAGCGCCUCACCGGCAGGCUGAGGAUCAUUUUUCAAAAGAACUGCAAUUAACAAAAUAAAACAAAUCUCUUUUUAGUUCAAGCAUCAUCACUUCUCUCCCGCCCUUCAAAGUGAGGGGGUAAAAUUGUUGCUUUCCUCUGCAAACCAGAAAUGGAAAUAUUUCCCAAAGCAGGGCAGUUUUCACUUGCCUAUCACCUUUUGCCUGAAUAUUUGAAAGGAUUUGGCAAAAGGGAAGGGUGGGGAAGGAUAUUGAUUUUCUUUGAUUUUUCUUCAGUUUAUCUGUGGAGUUGGAGGCAAAGAGGUGGUAAGGAACUCGCCUCAGGUUACAGGAUGACUCCUGAGCAGAGUUUGUGGGUUCUCGGGUUAUUUGCUCCAGCAGAUAAUCCAACAAAUGCAAUGAUUUCACUGCAACUCAAAAUUUGAUAACGUGUCUGGGACAGCUGGGGAGCCAGAGAGCUCUUAAUGGCAGUGAACACAACGUAAUCUGUUGAAGUACACAGUAUUCCUUUGGAUGCUUUGCAAUGUGAUCUUCUCUCUGUGGAGAAAGCCCUUAAUAGAUGGGGUUUAAAGAUUCCUUUCCCUGAUUUUUAAACAAAUUCGGUGGGGAAAAAAAUGUCUUGACCUAAAGCUUUGCGUGUAAAACCAGCUUAGAUGUGGCUGAAAAAGUGUCAGGAAAACAUAAAAAUAUUGGCUCUCAGUGGUAAUGAGUGGUAAUGAGGCAACUCCCAGGAAACCCCAUGAUGGAUUUGCUGCUGGUGGUUGAUUUGGCUGGUGAGUCAUUCAGUAGCUGUCAUGCCCAAAGUGGCAGAGAAGGUAAGCUUAGAAAAAGCACAGAAUUGCCUCUAGAAUGCAAAUUUCUCUUUUGGGAAAACCCCUUUAUCUAAAAAAAACAAAGAAAAUGGAAAAGGAACCCAAUUCCUCCCUCUCCAGGUGUCUCCAUAGGACCAGCCCCUUCAUUGUGGGGCAGCUAACAAGGCAAAACAAGACAAUUCAACGAUUUGUCCUCACAAGCCUAGUAAAGGCCCUAAAAGAGACUUCCAAAAUCACCCCAAAUAACCUCAGAAAGGAAAACCUAAUUUUCUGUGUUCACUUUAGCCCUGUUUUGGGUGAAACAAGGCAAAACCACAUGAAAUGCCGUACUGUGGCAGUGCUUUUGUGACACCAGCAACAUCCGCGUUUUGUAAUGAACUUUUAAAGCCUCCAUGUGGCAAAGGGUGCUGUUGGCAAGCACAUGUUUCUUCCCCAUGAAAUACUCCUGUGCUGUGAGAAGCUGUCAGUGCUGGAUGCUUUUUAACACCUGGGAAGAGGAAUAAUGCUGCAUCACUACUUAAGAUAGCAGAGCUUACCCAAAAAUAUCCUUAUGUUUUGGUAUCCAGAUUGUAUGGAGCAGCUGAGCUUUAAUCAAGACUCUCACAUAAGUCUCUCUGCUACCCUUAUGGUCCUAAAAAAAAAAAGACACCAAAAAACAAAAACAAUAAACCCCAAACAAACUCCCCCCCAACAAA